CUGGCGGCAUGCCUUACACAUGCAAGUCGAACGGCAGCACGGGUGCUUGCACCUGGUGGCGAGUGGCGAACGGGUGAGUAAUAUAUCGGAACGUACCUUAUUGUGGGGGAUAACGCAGCGAAAGCUGUGCUAAUACCGCAUAAUCCCUGAGGGGGAAAGCGGGGACCGUAAGGCCUCGCGCGAUUAGAGCGGCCGAUAUCUGAUUAGCUUGUUGGUGGGGUAAAAGCCCACCAAGGCGACGAUCAGUAGCUGGUCUGAGAGGACGAUCAGCCACACUGGGACUGAGACACGGCCCAGACUCCUACGGGAGGCAGCAGUGGGGAAUUUUGGACAAUGGGGGCAACCCUGAUCCAGCAAUGCCGCGUGAGUGAAGAAGGCCUUCGGGUUGUAAAGCUCUUUUGUCAGGGAAGAAACAGCAGCUCUAACACAGUCUGCGAAUGACGGUACCUGAAGAAUAAGCACCGGCUAACUACGUG
RNAcentral lists this ribosomal RNA (476 nucleotides) under uncultured bacterium. RNAcentral describes it as "bacterial SSU rRNA". It matches the Rfam family "Bacterial small subunit ribosomal RNA", at positions 36 to 507 of the family's 1533-position model. The record is from RNAcentral.